AACCCCUAGAGGUUCCAGCCCGCGUUCAAAUUUGUGUAAUGAUCCUUCCGUAGGGGGGACCUGCGGAGGGAUCAUUACACAAAUAUGAAGGCGGGCUGGAACCUCUCGGGGUUACAGCCUUGCUGAAUUAUUCACCCUUGUCUUUUGCGUACUUCUUGUUUCCUUGGUGGGUUCGCCCACCACUAGGACAAACAUAAACCUUUUGUAAUUGCAAUCAGCGUCAGUAACAAAUUAAUAAUUACAACUUUCAACAACGGAUCUCUUGGUUCUGGCAUCGAUGAAGAACGCAGCGAAAUGCGAUAAGUAGUGUGAAUUGCAGAAUUCAGUGAAUCAUCGAAUCUUUGAACGCACAUUGCGCCCUUUGGUAUUCCAAAGGGCAUGCCUGUUCGAGCGUCAUUUGUACCCUCAAGCUUUGCUUGGUGUUGGGCGUCUUGUCUCUAGCUUUGCUGGAGACUCGCCUUAAAGUAAUUGGCAGCCGGCCUACUGGUUUCGGAGCGCAGCACAAGUCGCACUCUCUAUCAGCAAAGGUCUAGCAUCCAUUAAGCCUUUUUUUCAACUUUUGACCUCGGAUCAGGUAGGGAUACCCGCUGAACUUAAGCAUAUCAA
RNAcentral lists this ribosomal RNA (606 nucleotides) under Alternaria sp. SF2. RNAcentral describes it as "eukaryotic LSU rRNA". The stretch from base 243 to 396 matches the Rfam family "5.8S ribosomal RNA". Lineage: Eukaryota; Fungi; Ascomycota; Dothideomycetes; Pleosporales; Pleosporaceae. The record is from RNAcentral.